AAUCAAUAACAGAGGUACCUCUUUUAUCUUGGAUAAAAGAAGUUGAGAAACACUCUUAUGAGCUGAUCUGGUUAACACCAGCGUAGCGAGUUAUAUCUCUCACAAG
This 106-nucleotide non-coding RNA is filed under the name Mycoplasmoides gallisepticum. RNAcentral's name for it is "Mycoplasma gallisepticum TPP sequence". It matches the Rfam family "TPP riboswitch aptamer (THI element)". Rfam says of the family: Vitamin B(1) in its active form thiamin pyrophosphate (TPP) is an essential coenzyme that is synthesised by coupling of pyrimidine and thiazole moieties in bacteria. The previously detected thiamin-regulatory element, thi box was extended, resulting in a new, highly conserved RNA secondary structure, the THI element, which is widely distributed in eubacteria and also occurs in some archaea. Lineage: Bacteria; Bacillati; Mycoplasmatota; Mycoplasmoidales; Mycoplasmoidaceae. The record is from RNAcentral. RNAcentral also lists the same sequence under 1 other name.